RNAcentral lists this long non-coding RNA (1004 nucleotides) under Glycine max (soybean). Its description in RNAcentral is "long non-coding RNA (GMAX_LNC002568)". Lineage: Eukaryota; Viridiplantae; Streptophyta; Magnoliopsida; Fabales; Fabaceae. The record is from RNAcentral.
UCUCACAAUUCCUUGCAGCGAAGAUGCUUUCCUAGACCUCACUUCUCGUUUGAAUGGACUAUAAAUCAUAUUGAAGGAGAUUGACAUAGAUUAGUUGAGGCAAAUUGUACAGAAGACAAUUCUAUUUAUUUAUUUAUCCUUCUUUUGUAAGUGGAAAGUGCCAUCUAAGUGAGAUAGUUAUUAACAGAGAUGUUGAAUUCCUUUUUGGUCAAAUUUCAAUGAGUUUUCAUGCACACUUUGCUGAAAAAUUAUACAGAUAGCCACUGUUAUGCAUAUUCUCUUCAAUAUAUUUUUUUUUCUUCCCCUGCUCUUCUGCUGCUACUGUUGUACAAAUAAAAGCAAAAUAAAUUAUAAUGAUGUUCUUUUAGAGGAAGGAGUUGUAAUGAAAUGAAGUGGGGUUGAAAACUUGAAAAUUAAAAUUAAUAGAAUUAUGUCAGUAAAAUAUGCACACUAGGGUAUUUUCUUUUUUUCUUUUUUUUUUUUUGUUGAGGGGGGGGGGGGGGGGGGGGGGAGGGAGUGUUAAUUCAUAAAUCCAAUAUAUAUGGAUAAAAUUAGUACACUUAGUUAUUUGAUGAUCAAUAGUUGAAUAUCCCACUGUCUCGCAUUUCACUGCAGACCUUUGGACAAUUUUCUUCAGCAUUUCUCCUCAACAGUUUCAAAGGAUGCUAACAUAAGAAGGACAAUGUGGUGGAUAGCAGUUACAACCUCAAUUUGGAGGCUCAGAAAUGAUAUAAUUUUCCAGAAUCAAACCUUUGAUAUCACUAGACUGACAGAUAGCACUCUGUUUCUCUUAUGGACCUGGCUGAGGGGUUGGGAAAGGAAUUUCCAGAUUCCUUAUUAUAGUUGGUCUUCAAAUAUGUCUAUAGCUUUUAGUUAAAGCUUCUGUUAGUAGGGUUUUCAUCUGUGGAGGGUGCUGUAUCUCCUGAUUAUCAGGACCUUUUCUGUAUUAUGUAGUACCUCUGGUACUUGGUUUCAUAUAUAAUAUAUUAUCUUCGCCUUCCAAA